RNAcentral lists this ribosomal RNA (229 nucleotides) under uncultured bacterium. Its description in RNAcentral is "partial 16S ribosomal RNA". It matches the Rfam family "Bacterial small subunit ribosomal RNA", at positions 104 to 334 of the family's 1533-position model. The record is from RNAcentral.
CGAGGGUGAGUAAUGUCUGGGAAACUGCCCGAUGGAGGGGGAUAACUACUGGAAACGGUAGCUAAUACCGCAUAACGUCGCAAGACCAAAGAGGGGGACCUUGGGCCUCUUGCCAUCGGAUGUGCCCAGAUGGGAUUAGCUAGUAGGUGGGGUAACGGCUCACCUAGGCGACGAUCCCUAGCUGGUCUGAGAGGAUGACCAGCCACACUGGAACUGAGACACGGUCCAG